RNAcentral lists this ribosomal RNA (384 nucleotides) under uncultured eukaryote. Its description in RNAcentral is "SSU rRNA". It matches the Rfam family "Eukaryotic small subunit ribosomal RNA", at positions 587 to 972 of the family's 1831-position model. The record is from RNAcentral.
AGCUCCAAUAGCGUAUAUUAAAGUUGUUGCAGUUAAAAAGCUCGUAGUCGUAUUUCUAGGAUGAGCAAUUUGUCCGGGUGUUUUGCAUCUGUGUACAUUUUUGUCUCGUCCUAUCCUUGUGGAGAGCUUGUUUGGCCUUAAUCGGUUGAGCAAGGGAUCUGCAUCAUUUACUGUGAAAAAUUAGAGUGUUUAAAGCAGGCAUUUGCUGUGAAUACAUUAGCAUGGAAUAAUAAGAUAGGACUUUGGUACUAUUUUGUUGGUUUGCAUACCAAGGUAAUGAUGAAUAGGGACAGUUGGGGGUAUUCAUAUUUAGUUGUCAGAGGUGAAAUUCUUGGAUUUACGAAAGAUGAACUUAUGCGAAAGCAUUUACCAAGGAUGUUUUCA